GCCACCUACCUUAAGUCAUUGUUGCUGCCACCUCUAUUCCUAGCUUGGCUCAGGUGGUAGCAGCGACAGUAGACACUUUCUCCUUUUUUCUCCUUCCCAUCAUGCUCUGUCUUCCCGGAGACCCUGCAUGUUGUUGCCCACUAUGUUGCAUCAGAUUUCUAGGCUACUAUGGCCCAGAACAAGCCCCGCCCUAGGGGGGUCAUUCAAUGGCCUUUCCCUGCAGCAGGAACUACACGAGGCUUCCUGGUUGAAGCAGGCCUUGCCUUACUAUCAAAGUUCCCUUGAUUCUGGUGUAUUGGUCUUUCUGCCUGGUGUGACCUGGCUUGUUUUGACUCCUGAUUAUCUGCUUGACCCUCUGGCUCCUGAUUGCUGAUUUGGCUUGACCUUUGGCUUGUUUCUGGCUCCUGUUCUAACCUUCUGACUUGACUGAUUCUUGGCCUGAUCUGCAGUGUGUUCCCGGCUUCUGUCUGGCCUUCUUACUUCUAGUGACUACUUGGUCUGGUGCUUGGUGUAUUCCUGGCUUCUGUCCUGAUCCUCCUGGCUUCUAACUGCCUACCUGGUGUGACCUCUGGUGAGUUCCUGACUCUCCCAGUCCUGGCUUUGGAUUUAUGCCACCUAGUGACUACUGCCCAGGGUCCUGCCCACUCCCUCUGACUGGCCUCAGCUUCACAACAAGGGGCCCAAGAAAGCAAAGCUGGCACAGUGCAGAUUUAACCAGCAAAUGAGGUGGAAGAGAUGGCACAACAGAAUAACAGCAGAUGUGGUCAGCAAGAAAGAAAGAAAGCACCUUUGCUAGGUCAGAGAGAAGACACCUAUGCAGAAAGAGCCAAUGGCAACCAGACAACCUCCUAAGACAUGAUGAAAAUGUUAAUGGUAUCUGGUAUGUGAAUGCAGGAGAACUGUAUUCAGCUUAAAUGAAAGGCUCCAGGAAGCCCCUCAGUAUGCAUAAUUAAAAAUGACUUAUUCUUGGAAUCCCAGCUAUUUCUAAACUGAAGAACAAAAUGCUCUGCUCCAGUAUUGGUAUGUCCUGCCAUCAAUCUAAAAUUAACAUAAAGAGUUUCAAAGGAUUACAGUUUGCCCAGUUAUUAAGGAUGUUCAAGGAUCCCUGGACCUGCCUCCAGGAAAAAGAAACAGGAAUUCCCCAACUUAAAUUUUAAUCUCAAACAAAGGAAACUCCCAUCACCUAAAGGGAUUAACCUAUCAGUAUCUCCAGGAAAUGAUGAAUUAUCAGAUCUCAUGUAUGCUGACUACCUAAAGAUCCAGCUUUGCAAAAUCAUUUAGAAAUAUCUUUGUCCAGUAAACUCCAGUUUAGGGUAUAAAAAUCAGACUGCAAAGCCAGGAUAGCAUAGUGGUUAGAGUGUUGUACUAGGACCGAGAAGACCAGAGUUCGAAUCCCCAUUCAACCAUGAAACUCACUGGGUGUCUCCGGGCCAGUCAUGUUCUCUCAGCCUAACCUACCUCACAGGGUUGUUGUGAGGAUAAAAAUAACCAUGUACACCACUCUGAGAUCCUCAUAGGAAGAGUGGGAUAAAAGUGUAAAAAUAAAUAAAAUAAAAUAACUGGCACUUUGAGCCCAAGCACUCCAGAAAACCAAGAAAGAAAAGAAAGGUCUUCCAGGGACUUUGGCUGCAAAGGCCUCUGCUUCCUAUUGAAACUUCACACUGAUUCCAUUACCUUUUCAAAGACUAAGGAAAGGUAUACCUGGGGUACAGAUAUAAGGAAAGUUUGGGAAGCAGCUCCUCACAAUUUUUUUGCAGGGGGGCGUGGAGAGGAAAGGCACUUUUGGAGGGGAGAAAAACAGCUGAUAUGAGUCAUUUGGAGCGAGUUCAGUAAAAUGGGAGGAACUUAAAUGCUUGGGGGGUGGUAAAGGUAAAGUGUGCCGGUGGUACCCCUGGGUAUACCUAAUCAUUAAGAUCCACACCGUGGAUCCAACUCUCUCUUCAUCUCUGCUCUCCCCUGCACUGCUGGUAAUUCAUACUACCCUUUCACUACUCCCUGUGCAUCCCUGCUAGAGCGGAAAAUAUCUUCCACGCCCUCUCCAGUCUAUAAUACAGCACUUUUCCUACACUUCUUCCUGUCCUUCCUGAAAAACACUCAUUACAACUUUGAAACUGCCAUGUUUGCCUAAUAUUGCACUGAUCUAUUCACUGUUACUAAUGAAUUGUAUGAAACAAACUUCUAGGAUGAAAAUUUUUCCACAGAAAAAAAGGUACAUUUCCACAGGAAAAUUUCAAUCCCACAUCUCUGUUCCAGUGACUCUGGCUGGUAGUGGACCCCUGGCAGUCUAUGGCAGUUGCCCAACUAUGCUGGCCACUGAUGCAGGCCUAGCAAUCCUAACAGGCUGAAUCAUUUGAAGAUGAUGUGCAAACUACCUUUCAGAACACAAACUUGGAGGCAAAAUAUGAUCAAAUAUGCAUGCGCAGAGACCUGAAAUUGGCCUGAUCUGCCUCAUUUGGGAGGAAGGCAGAUCUGGGUGAGGAGCUCUUUCGCCACCUUCUCUCUGGCCUUUUCAGAGACCACAAAAUUGUCCAGAAAAUGACAUUGCCUGAAGAGCAAUAUGAAAGAUUGAUAUAACUGUAAUUAGUCCAAUAAAAUGAGUCUGCCUGCCUAUUUCCAGUGUGCCAGCCCCAACUUCACUUGUGAUAGUUUAGGAAGUGGUCGGAGCUCUUGCCGCUGUCCACUGCUGCCACAGCCACCAGUUAAGCACACCCGGCAGCAACUGGCUUCAGAGGGCCUGGCUGCGCCCUUGCCACCUGGGGCCAAGUCCCACCCCUAGGUGCCCCCCCCAUGUCCUGAUUUCAGCCAAUGCAAUGUUGGCAACCCUAUCUAUGGGGAGGGGUCGUUUUUGUCAGUUCCAUCUGUAGCCAAAUGAUUCCCCAAAAUGAGGGCUGUAUGACCCUCAGGGACACAUUUUUGGGCUAUAGAGAAAAGAGGAGAUCCACAUAUUGCCCAUCCCCCAUAGUGCAUGCGCAGCAUCACUACACAAUGCUUCAUUAGUCCAGAUGUCAGCCAAUAUGCACACAAUGUUAAUUUAGGGCAGUUAGUUGUCUCUUUUCAGAGACCACAAAAUUGUCCAAAAAAUGACAUUGCCUGAAGAUCAAUAUGAAAGAUUGAUAUAACUGUAAUUAGUCCAAUAAAAUGAGUCACUCUUGAUACCUUGAUCAGGCAUGUUGUUCUGUCCAAUGAUCUAUUAAGAUUUUCAAUCAAAGAGCAUAAUGAAGAAGCCCUUAAUGAAUAUUUGUUCAGAUUAGUUUGGUGUGAGAAUAUUUUAACUUUCCUCUGCAAUAUGCACAAACUCAAGCCACAUCUUAUUUGGUAAAUCCUUGAUAUUUCCUUUGAAAUAUAAUUAUACAGUAUCUUGUAUGAUCUUAUACAAAAGAUUGAAAUGUAUUUUGUUGAACUACCCAACAAAAGCUGAUUAGUCCUCUUCCAGGGGACUAAUCCUAUGGGCACAUACAAGGGAGUAAAGUCCCAUUGAAUUCAGUGGAAUAAGUUACUUCCUAGUAGACAUGAAUUGGAUUGGGCUGCAAGGAUGGAAUCCUAAGUACACACUUGCAUGUAAAGAAGUUCAACUGGUUUAGAAGUAAUAAGCCUUACCCUUCAGUAAACUUUAUCACUGCCCUAAACCUUAAGAAAUCCUAUGAUAUUGGCAAAACUUGUAGUGGUUAUAAAAAGACCAGAGUAGCCACUACAAAUUUUGCCAAUAUUGUAGGAUCUAUUAAGGUUUAGGGCAGUGGUUCCGAACCCAGGGGCCUCCAGAUGUUGCUGAACUCCCAUCAUCCCCAACAUUGUAGUUUCAGUCAUACUAUUCAUUUUAUACUUUCCAUGGGCAGAAUGAUAGUAGGUUUUAAGGAUCACAAGGCCUUCCUGAGAAACUUUCACUUUUACAAAGCUUUAUUAAACCAUGACCUAUUUUCAAGAGCACUUGAGCAUUCCCAACAUUCUUCCCCACUCCUGAAAGACCAUCCUAUGAGUUGCUGUUCUACAAAUGGCUGGGAAGAGCUGGCAACAGAUAAUUAUUUGCAAAGUACUGUAGAUAAAUAUAGUCUAGGUUGAGUAAUAUUAAUAGUACUUUAUACAGAGUGGGAGCUUGAUAUGAAUUCAAGAAGCAUUGGCUUUAUCAAGUUAUCAGCACUGCAAAUUGUGUGAAUUGUAGAAAUAUGCAUUAUCCAGGACUGCAUUUCUUUUCGUAUCCACCAACAAAAAGGUGGACAGGCUCUUAUUUGAUAUCUGGGUCCUCUCCUGUAAAGGCCAGAAGGAUCUAGACAUAGUUAAUGCUACUUUUGGAUUUCUGGCCUCUAGGAAGUAACAGCCUUGACUUUCUAAAAUUUUAGCUACCUCUAGAAUAGAUUUCAUGCCUGCUAGGUGCUGUGAUAUUUUAUGCGAUGACAAUUAAUUCAUAUGGACAAAAUGGAGGAAGCUGGCACAUAAUGUGAUCACCGCUUCUACAGCAUCAGACGACAUCACACACGUUUUGCCAAAAAUGUGGUGGGGUACAGUACUCCAUGUUUCACAAGUGGCCUGCUCCAAAUUAACUUUUAAUGCUUUGAUUGAUACAAAGAUCAAUUAACUUUACAGGCUACAGAUAUCCUGUCACCAAAAAAUAUUUUCCAGUUCUCUAAAAAUAUACCAGUAUGUUUGUAAACAAUUAUCUUCUAUAAUAAAGAGCUAAAGUGUGCGCCCGUGUCACUGCGCCCAUGUCACUGCGCAUGCUCAGAGUGCCCGAGAAAGAUACGGCCGCAGAGACAUGGCGGCCAUGUUGUCUCCCAGGUCAAAAGAAGAAGAAGCGGGGAAGGAGAACAAGUGGGAACCCGGGUGGGCAGAGGCGGCAGUGGCGAGGGAGAGCAAGUGGGAACCGGGAUAACGGAGAACAAGCGGGAACCGGGGAGGGCAGAGGCGGCAGUGGAGAGGGAGAACAAGAGGGAACCAAGGAGAACUCUUGGCGGCGGCGGCGGAACUCUCCGCCCGGCCGCCCACAGUGACGGCGGCACUCUCAGCCUGGCCACCCAGCCGCCCGUGGCGCCGGCAGCACUCUCGAACCCGGCCGCCCGCCCACGGCGGCGGCACUCUUUGCGGCGGAACUCUCCGCCCGGCCAUCCACAGCGCCGGCGGCACUCUCGGACCGGCCACCCAGCCGCCCGCAGCGCCGGCGACACUCUCGGGCCUGGCCACCCGCCUAGCUACCAUGGGCCAGGGACUGAGGGAGGAAGUCAAAGACAGAGAGAGAGAAAGAGAGGAAGGAGUGAGGGAGGGAGCCAGGACAAUAGAGAGGUGGAAAAAAGGAAAGAAGAAACAAGAGAAAAGAGAGAGAAGGGAAGGAAAAGGACAAAAGAAACAAGAAGGGAGGGAGGGAAAGUAGGAAAGAGAGAAGUAAGGAAGAAGAAAGAAAAAGGAGAAAGGAGUGAGGGAGAAGAACAAAAAAAACCAGAAGGGAGGGAGGAACAGCCAGCCCCAAAGAGCUAGCCCGUUAAAGAAAGAAAAGAGGAAAAGAGAAAGAAAACAGAAAGGAGAGAGAGGGAGAGGGAGAUAGAAGAAAGGAAGGAAAGGAAAGAGAGGAAGAGGGAGAUAAAAGGAAGGAAUGAAAGAGAGAGAUGGAAAAAAAGGGGAAGGAAAGGAGGGCGAGAGAGAGGGAGAAGGAAAAAAGGAAACAACAAAAAAAAUUCUAGCGCCCGUUACUUUAACAGGCUAAAAAAUACUAGUAGUUCUAUAAAGGUGUUCCAAUUUGCUAAAAUGGCAGACAUGAGAUAAAUAAUUUUAAGGCCAAGGAAAAUGGCACAGUGCCUGUGCCAAAUAUUUCAUUUGCUUCAUGCUCUAUCUCCAAGAUUAUGGAACUAAGUUUUAAACACAUUUAUAUUUCCACAUGCAUUCCUUUCUUACUACAUAAGAAAUCAAGGCACAGAAGCUGAUUCAUACUAUAGAUUAAUGAACACAGGCUUACUAAACCCUACUUAGAUUACACUGAACUGCUUAAUAGGAUUCCUGAUAACCAAAGAUAAUCCUAUCCAUUUUAUUUCAUUGAUGCUUAUAAAGCUGCUGAGAACAAGAAAUUUGAUGGGCUGAUAAAAAUGCUGAAACUCUGUAAUUAACACUUAGCCAACAUACAUAGCAUAUGUAUUCUAUAGAUUUCUCCAGCUACAUAACUGUGCCUUAAAGAGUUAUCAUAUAUUGUACACAAAACCACUGUGUUUACAUUUUAUAAAUGUAAACACAUUUACAUUUAUAAAAUGUAAAUUUUAUACAUUUUAUAUAAAAUGUAUACAAAACAUUUUGUAUGUUUACAUUUUAUAAUAGUUUACAUUUACAUGUAAAUGUACAUUUACAUUUACAUGUAAUGUACAUUUACAUUUGGAAAUGUACAAUUUACAUUUGGUUUACAUUUUAUAUUGCAUAUCUACAAGAGCAGUCCUGAUUUUCCUUAAGUCUGCAUUCGUGUAAGCAUACAUGUGACCAAUGCAAUUAUGAAUAAAAGUUAACAAUAAUGAUGGUUUUAAAUUUUAAUAAUGAUUUUAAAUUCUUAAUGUUGGUUUUAAAUUAUGUUAAUGUCAAUGAUUUUAAUGUUUAAAUUAUUGUAAUUGUUUAAUUGAUUUAGUUUUGAUUUUAAUUGUUUGUUUUUAUUUUGAUGUAAACCACUCUCAGCCAUUUUUGGAAGGGCAGUAUAUAAAUCAAUCAAUCAAUCAAUCAAUCAAUCAAUUAAAUAAAUAAAUAAAUAAAUAAAUAAAUGGGAUGUUCCCGCCCAGUUGCUGCAAUCACAAAAUUUGUGCAAACUAUAUCCCUGUAUAGGCGAUAUAGGAGAUUAUCAAAACCACAUUUUUUGUUUGCCAACAUGAUCAUCAACCCAGGGAGAGUAGAACUUUGAGUGGGCAAUAAAUGUGUGUGAACUGUCCCAUAGUCUUAAGCAAAAGUAGGUUCCACUGAAACAAUUGUUACUUCUAUAUAUCAACUGCAAAGCAUCAUGGUAAUAUGCAUACACAUGUAACUGUUUUCUCUUUAGCAACCCCACACAUCUACCUUUUUUAAGUCAUAAGGUUUAUAAACCUGCUAGAGAGAGAAUGGACAGACAAUCCAUUGUGUAAGCACUUGCAGCUUUGGCUAUGUAAGUCUGUGGCAAAUGUGGUUAGGAUCAGUUGGAAUGUUGUCAGGAUCAGCUGCAAUGUUGUCAUGGCCUUGCCCAACCAAAUAAAAAGGAAGAGUUUUCUACUUUUACCAAUAAAAAACCCUGUUGUAAGGAAAACUCCU
Long non-coding RNA from Hemicordylus capensis (graceful crag lizard), 7236 nucleotides. RefSeq lists it as uncharacterized. The transcript has 2 exons. Lineage: Eukaryota; Metazoa; Chordata; Lepidosauria; Squamata; Cordylidae. The record is from RefSeq and is a predicted model, not a curated record.